GACGAACGCUGGCGGCGUGCUUAACACAUGCAAGUCGAACGGAAGGGCCCUGCUUUUGUGGGGUGCUCGAGUGGCGAACGGGUGAGUAACACGUGAGUAACCUGCCCUUGACCUUGGGAUAACUUCAGGAAACUGGGGCUAAUACCGGAUAGGAGCUCCUGCUGCAUGGUGGGGGUUGGAAAGUUUCGGCGGUUGGGGAUGGACUCGCGGCUUAUCAGCUUGUUGGUGGGGUAGUGGCUUACCAAGGCUUUGACGGGUAGCCGGCCUGAGAGGGUGACCGGCCACAUUGGGACUGAGAUACGGCCCAGACUCCUACGGGAGGCAGCAGUGGGGAAUAUUGCACAAUGGGCGGAAGCCUGAUGCAGCAACGCCGCGUGCGGGAUGACGGCCUUCGGGUUGUAAACCGCUUUCGCCUGUGACGAAGCGUGAGUGACGGUAAUGGGUAAAGAAGCACCGGCUAACUACGUG
RNAcentral lists this ribosomal RNA (468 nucleotides) under uncultured bacterium. RNAcentral's name for it is "partial 16S ribosomal RNA". It matches the Rfam family "Bacterial small subunit ribosomal RNA", at positions 28 to 507 of the family's 1533-position model. The record is from RNAcentral.